This 2721-nucleotide long non-coding RNA is filed under the name Ananas comosus (pineapple). Its description in RNAcentral is "long non-coding RNA (ACOM_LNC015468)". The record is from RNAcentral. Lineage: Eukaryota; Viridiplantae; Streptophyta; Magnoliopsida; Poales; Bromeliaceae.
CGAUGUACCUGGACGAAUGAAAAAGAAUAUUAUUAAAAAAAAUAUUUAAAAAUAUUUGAGAAAAAUAUAGGUGAAAAUUAAAAAAAAAAUAUUACUAAAAAAAUAUUUGCUUUAUAUUUGAGAAACAUAUAGGUGAAAAUAAGAAAAUACCAAAAAAUAUACUACCAAAAAAAGAUAUGCUCUACAUAUUGUGUAAUAAGUAUUAUGAUGAGAUAAAAUUAGAUACUGCAUAUAUUAUACGUGAAAAUAUUAAAAAAUGCGUAAACUAUUUUGACAGGUAUUAUGUGAUAGGUAUUAUGAUGAGAUAAGAUUAUAUAUUAUUAUAAAUAUUAUAUGUGAGGGUAUUAAGAUAUAUUCUAUAUUUGAGAAAUGCGUAAAAUGUUUUAGCGGGUAUUACUUAAAUAUUGAAUAUUUUGCUAAAAAAAUUCAAAAUUAUAUUUAAUUACUUUUGCUUGGGCACGUAUUAAAUUUUGUCUAGAAAUAUUCUACGCUUUUAUGGCGCAUUACUUAAAUAUUAAAUAUUUUGCUAAAAAUGUUUAAAAUUAUAUUUAAUUAACGAUUUAGUUUUGAUUGGGCGGAUAUUGAAAUUUUUUAGCAAUAUGUAACGUUUAUGGCAUGCCAAAUUUUAAUAAUCAUUAAAAUUGAAUCUAUCAUCUCACGUAAGAAAAUCUACUAUCAUGAAUUAAAAUUUAAAUUAACAAAUUUGCGAGUAUUAAAUUUUGACGGACAUUACAAAUUUUAAAUUUAAUUUUGAGUAUUACGUGAUUGACGGGUAUUACAUUUGAGAAAAAAAAUAUUUGAGAAAAAGCGUGCAUAUAAGAUAAAUUUAAUUGUACAUAUUACGUAAUUGGCGAAUAUUACGUUAAAUAGAAGAUAAAUUUAAUUUUAUAUAUUAUAUGAUUGGCGGGUAUUGCAUUAUAUUUAUCAAAUUUGUGAGUAUUAAAUUUUUGCGGACAUUACAAAUUUAAAAUUUAAUUCGAGAAUUACGUGAUUGGUAAUUUGCGAGUAUUAAAUUUUGACAGACAUUACAAAUUUAAAUUUUAAUUUUGAGUAUUACGUGAUUGGCGAGUAUUACGUUUGAGAAAGAAAAUAUUUGAGAAAAAGCGUGCAUAUGACAUAAAUUUAAUUGUACAUAUUACGUGAUUGGCGAAUAUUACGUUAAAUAGAAGGUAAAUUUAAUUUUAUGUAUUAUAUAAUUGGCGGAUAUUAUAUUAUAUUUAUUAAAUUUGUGAGUAUUAAAUUUUGGCGGACAUUACAAAUUUGAAAUUUAAUUUUGAGUAUUACGUAAUUGGCGAGUAUUACGUUUGAGAAAGAGUAUUACGUGGAAAGAAAAUAUUUGAGAAAAUGCUUAUGAGAUAAAUUUAAUUGUACAUAUUACGUGAUUGACAAAUAUUACGUUAAAUAGGAGAUAAAUUUAAUUUUACGUAUUAUAUGAUUGGCGGGUAUUACAUUAUAUUUGAGAUAAAUUUAAUUUUACGUAUUACAUGAUUGGCGGGUAGAAAGAAAAUAUUUGCGAAACGCGUAAAUAGGAGAUAAGGGAUAUAGAUGAUAUUAUUAUUGCAAAAAGUGACAUAUACUUUUAUUUUUAUUCGUUAGAUAAAAUCUAAUGGUAAAAAAUUAAUUUCUUUAUUUGAGAAUAAAUUAUUAUUUAGUGAAUGAUUUGAAAUAAUAAUAUCAUCUAUAUCCCUUAUCUCCUAUUUACGCGUUUCGCAAAUAUUUUCUUUCUACCCGCCAAUCAUGUAAUACGUAAAAUUAAAUUUAUCUCAAAUAUAAUGUAAUACCCGCCAAUCAUAUAAUACGUAAAAUUAAAUUUAUCUCCUAUUUAACGUAAUAUUUGUCAAUCACGUAAUAUGUACAAUUAAAUUUAUCUCAUAAGCAUUUUCUCAAAUAUUUUCUUUCCACGUAAUACUCUUUCUCAAACGUAAUACUCGCCAAUUACGUAAUACUCAAAAUUAAAUUUCAAAUUUGUAAUGUCCGCCAAAAUUUAAUACUCACAAAUUUAAUAAAUAUAAUAUAAUAUCCGCCAAUUAUAUAAUACAUAAAAUUAAAUUUACCUUCUAUUUAACGUAAUAUUCGCCAAUCACGUAAUAUGUACAAUUAAAUUUAUGUCAUAUGCACGCUUUUUCUCAAAUAUUUUCUUUCUCAAACGUAAUACUCGCCAAUCACGUAAUACUCAAAAUUAAAAUUUAAAUUUGUAAUGUCUGUCAAAAUUUAAUACUCGCAAAUUACCAAUCACGUAAUUCUCGAAUUAAAUUUUAAAUUUGUAAUGUCCGCAAAAAUUUAAUACUCACAAAUUUGAUAAAUAUAAUGCAAUACCCGCCAAUCAUAUAAUAUAUAAAAUUAAAUUUAUCUUCUAUUUAACGUAAUAUUCGCCAAUUACGUAAUAUGUACAAUUAAAUUUAUCUUAUAUGCACGCUUUUUCUCAAAUAUUUUUUUUCUCAAAUGUAAUACCCGUCAAUCACGUAAUACUCAAAAUUAAAUUUAAAAUUUGUAAUGUCCGUCAAAAUUUAAUACUCGCAAAUUUGUUAAUUUAAAUUUUAAUUCAUGAUAGUAGAUUUUCUUACGUGAGAUGAUAGAUUCAAUUUUAAUGAUUAUUAAAAUUUGGCAUGCCAUAAACGUUACAUAUUGCUAAAAAAUUUCAAUAUCCGCCCAAUCAAAACUAAAUCGUUAAUUAAAUAUAAUUUUAAACAUUUUUAGCAAAAUAUUUAAUAUUUAAGUAAU